AGAAGGAAAACAUCGAAUCCCCAUAUAUGCUAAGGAAUUGGCCUUAGUGUCUCUACCCGACACCGUAAAUGUCGGACUAUGCGGGAAAGCAACUUUUGG
RNAcentral lists this non-coding RNA (99 nucleotides) under Viridibacillus arenosi. RNAcentral's name for it is "Guanine sequence". It matches the Rfam family "Purine riboswitch aptamer". Rfam says of the family: Riboswitches are metabolite binding domains within certain messenger RNAs that serve as precision sensors for their corresponding targets. Allosteric rearrangement of mRNA structure is mediated by ligand binding, and this results in modulation of gene expression. A class of riboswitches that selectively recognises guanine and becomes saturated at concentrations as low as 5 nM. The record is from RNAcentral. RNAcentral also lists the same sequence under 1 other name. Lineage: Bacteria; Bacillati; Bacillota; Bacilli; Caryophanales; Caryophanaceae.